AUUCCAGCUCCAGUAGCGUAUAUUAAAGUUGUUGCAGUUAAAAAGCUCGUAGUUGGAUUUCUGGCUUGAGACGCCUGAGCCGCCAGGGUUACCUGUGUGAGUCUCGGUGUGUCUCUGCCAUCCUUCUGGAUAGCGUGUCUACCUUUUAUUAGGCCGGGCUCGUGCUCCAGAUCUUUUACUUUGAAAAAAUUAGAGUGUUUAAAGCAAGCUUGCGCUAUGAAUACAUUAGCAUGGAAUAAUAACUUAGGACUUUGGUUCUAUUUUGUUGGUUUCUAGGACUGAAGUAAUGAUUGAUAGGGAUAGUUGGGGGUGCUAGUAUUCAGCGGCCAGAGGUGAAAUUCUUGGAUUCGCUGAAGACUAACUUAUGCGAAAGCAUUCACCAAGGAUGUCUUCAUUA
RNAcentral lists this ribosomal RNA (397 nucleotides) under Thecofilosea sp. RNAcentral describes it as "partial small subunit ribosomal RNA". It matches the Rfam family "Eukaryotic small subunit ribosomal RNA", at positions 582 to 975 of the family's 1831-position model. Lineage: Eukaryota; Cercozoa; Thecofilosea. The record is from RNAcentral.